This 465-nucleotide ribosomal RNA is filed under the name uncultured bacterium. RNAcentral's name for it is "partial 16S ribosomal RNA". It matches the Rfam family "Bacterial small subunit ribosomal RNA", at positions 338 to 795 of the family's 1533-position model. The record is from RNAcentral.
CCUACGGGUGGCAGCAGUGGGGAAUAUUGCGCAAUGGGCGAAAGCCUGACGCAGCGACGCCGCGUGAGGGAUGAAGGUCUUCGGAUCGUAAACCUCUGUCAGCAGGGAAGAACGGUCACUGUGCUAAUCAGCAGUGAAUUGACGGUACCUGCAAAGGAAGCACCGGCUAACUCCGUGCCAGCAGCCGCGGUAAUACGGAGGGUGCGAGCGUUAAUCGGAAUUACUGGGCGUAAAGCGCUCGUAGGCGGUAUGUCAAGUCAAGGGUGAAAUCCCCGCGCUCAACGUGGGAACUGCCUUUGAAACUGGCAAACUAGAGUGUUGGAGAGGAUGGUAGAAUUCCAGGUGUAGGAGUGAAAUGCGUAGAUAUGUGGAGGAACAUCAGUGGCGAAGGCGACCAUCUGGAAAAUAACUGACGCUGAGGAGCGAAAGCGUGGGUAGCAAACAGGAUUAGAUACCCGAGUAGUC